This 316-nucleotide long non-coding RNA is filed under the name Capsicum annuum. RNAcentral describes it as "long non-coding RNA (CANN_LNC010130)". Lineage: Eukaryota; Viridiplantae; Streptophyta; Magnoliopsida; Solanales; Solanaceae. The record is from RNAcentral.
GGGGACGUCAUGAUCAUCAAAAGAAAGAACGUACUAGUUGACUGUAGGAAACAUAGAAAACACGAGAAUAGGAAGCCAGUUUUUGGGAAAGAAUUGAUAAAACUCUUCGUCGACCAUCGCAAGGAUUUUCAAGCAUUCGAUGUUGUGUCCAUCUCUCUGUGUUCUGUUAAUUGUUUGCUUGCAUGAGUUGUUUUUCCUGGUUAAUGAGCGAACAGGGUUGCAAUUCAAAAUUGAAUGUAUAUAAUUUGAACUUUUAACUAAAUCCUUAAUUUCAGUAGCAAAAACUCACGGUUUUCUUUUUGUUCUUGCCAAUCCG